RNAcentral lists this ribosomal RNA (413 nucleotides) under uncultured bacterium. RNAcentral's name for it is "bacterial SSU rRNA". It matches the Rfam family "Bacterial small subunit ribosomal RNA", at positions 917 to 1333 of the family's 1533-position model. The record is from RNAcentral.
GGGCCCGCACAAGCGGUGGAGCAUGUGGUUUAAUUCGAUGAUACGCGAGGAACCUUACCAGGGCUUAAAUGGGAAAUGACAGGGGCAGAGACGCCCCCUUCUUCGGACAUUUUUCAAGGUGCUGCAUGGUUGUCGUCAGCUCGUGCCGUGAGGUGUCAGGUUAAGUCCUAUAACGAGCGCAACCCCUACCGUUAGUUGCCAGCGUGUAAUGACGGGGACUCUAACGGAACUGCCGGUGCAAACCGUGAGGAAGGUGGGGACGACGUCAAAUCAUCACGGCCCUUACGUCCUGGGCCACACACGUGCUACAAUGGUAGGUACAGAGGGAAGCCACCCCGCGAGGGGGAGCGGAUCUACAAAACCUAUCUCAGUUCGGAUUGCAGGCUGCAACUCGCCUGCAUGAAGCUGGAAUC